UACGGGGGGGGCAAGCGUUGUUCGGAAUUACUGGGCGUAAAGGGCUCGUAGGCGGCCAACUAAGUCGGAUGUGAAAUCCCCAGGCUUAACCUGGGAACUGCAUCUGAUACUGGAUGGCUUGAAUCCGGGAGAGGGAUGCAGAAUUCCAGGUGUAGCGGUGAAAUGCGUAGAUAUCUGGAGGAACACCGGUGGCGAAGGCGGCGUUCUGGACUGCAACUGACACUGAGGAACGAAAGCCAGGGGAGCAAACGGG
Molecule: ribosomal RNA, 253 nt
Filed under: uncultured bacterium
Lineage: Bacteria
Description: partial 16S ribosomal RNA
Rfam family: Bacterial small subunit ribosomal RNA
Source: RNAcentral